UACGGGGGGAGCAAGCGUUGUUCGGAUUUACUGGGCGUAAAGGGCGCGUAGGCGGCCUUCUAAGUCAGACGUGAAAUCCCCAGGCUUAACUUGGGAACUGCGUCUGAUACUGGGAGGCUUGAGUGCGGGAGAGGGAUGUGGAAUUCCAGGUGUAGCGGUGAAAUGCGUAGAUAUCUGGAGGAACACCGGUGGCGAAGGCGGCAUCCUGGGCCGACACUGACGCUGAGGCGCGAAAGCUAGGGGAGCAAACGGG
Molecule: ribosomal RNA, 253 nt
Filed under: uncultured bacterium
Lineage: Bacteria
Description: partial 16S ribosomal RNA
Rfam family: Bacterial small subunit ribosomal RNA
Source: RNAcentral